Molecule: non-coding RNA, 84 nt
Filed under: Paenibacillus darwinianus
Lineage: Bacteria; Bacillati; Bacillota; Bacilli; Caryophanales; Paenibacillaceae
Description: c-di-GMP sequence
Rfam family: c-di-GMP-I riboswitch aptamer
About the family: GEMM was predicted in a large-scale screen for bacterial structured RNA regulatory elements.
Source: Rfam by way of RNAcentral
UUAACGAAACGGCAAAUCCACCGAAAGAUGGAGGCGCAAAGCCACGGGCCUAAGGCGAAAUGCUAUGGCAGCCGGGUUGCCGAA